GUGGGUAUAGCUCAGUGACAGAGCACAUACUUAGCAUGCAUGAGGUCCUGGGUUCAAUCCCCAAUACCUCCU
Molecule: transfer RNA, 72 nt
Organism: Camelus ferus (Wild Bactrian camel)
Lineage: Eukaryota; Metazoa; Chordata; Mammalia; Artiodactyla; Camelidae
Rfam family: tRNA
About the family: Transfer RNA (tRNA) molecules are approximately 80 nucleotides in length.
Source: Rfam